Molecule: non-coding RNA, 7725 nt
Organism: Callithrix jacchus (white-tufted-ear marmoset)
Lineage: Eukaryota; Metazoa; Chordata; Mammalia; Primates; Cebidae
Source: RefSeq, a predicted model, not a curated record
GGCGGGCUUUUAUCGUAGGCGGGGCCAUCCUGGAAGCCGGACUGUAUCAUAGGCGGGAUUGUUCUGGGGGCGGGGUUGUCUCAUAGGCGGAGCCAUCCUGGAGGCGGGCCUGUCCCUGAGUCUGCGAGGUAUCGGAAACAGAGCUGUCCGGAGGCGGCGCCCAGGUUGGGGUGAGGCUGAGCGGUCACUGAGGCGAGGCCGGGGCAUUAUUUCCGAACCCUGAGCCACGCCCGUGGUCUCCCGUUCUAUUUGCGGGCCACACCUGGGGCCGUUCUGCGGGUUCUCGGGGCGCCUACCAGAUGCAGAAACUAAAAACCAUGGUUUCAGCCUGCCACAAGCCCAAAAUAAAACAAAACAGAACAAGAACGACAACAAAAUAAGGCAAGUUGGAUAAGUUUUGAAAUGGCUAUUGCUUAUGCAAAGGUGCAGACCCCCAGAUCUUUCCUUUUCCUUAGGAGAAAACAGAAGCCAUUCAAUGAAAGUCAACAUAUCCUUACUGGACACUUGUUCUGUGAGACACUCUGGGAGAUGGAAAUGCUAUUAUGGUCAAUAAAUCUAGAGAGGAGAAAAGACAUGAAAACAACUCUAAUAUCAGGUCAACUAAUCUAAGUACCAAAAUUAGGUGCAAGGGCACAUAAAAGCAGCAGCAAUUAUUUCUGAUCCAAGGAUUAGAGAAGAAUGUGCAGAGAAGGUGACACAGAAACACAGCUUAGAAAAAUGUAUGUUUGUGGGCAGAUAAGGGUGGAGGGUAUUACAAUGUGAGGCUGUAUAAUAUUCCAAAGCAUGGAGAUAUGAAUGUGAAAGGCUCAAUUUGAGAAAGAAAAAAUAUUCAUAGUGGCUGAAACUAGUUAGCAGGACUUUCAUAGUGUUACCUCUACAGAAGCUUGGGCUAGGUGGAGAGGGACUUCGGCUGCCGUACUAGGGAGUUUUGAUUCCAUUCUACAGUUUGGAGCAAUUUUUUUUAAAGCACCAUUUAGUAAACACUGUGGUUGCCUCCUCAACAUCUAUUCCCUAUACUGCCCCUAUUUUCCUUUGUAACCAAAUUCAUUUAUCAGAUAAUCCACCCCUCCCUUAUGUGAUUCAGGGUACAAUGAAGGCAUCUCCAGUUCCAAGCACAGAUCUAUACUAGCUGAAGUCAGGCCGGUUAACUCAUACUUUUUGUGCUUCCAUGACAGACUCUUUCUAGGUAUACAUAAUAAAUAUACAUAAGCAAAAUUACUUCAUUGUCCAGCAUAUACAAUAGACAAACACAAAUCAGAAAUAUUGUUACCAGUGGUACCUCAGUCUAUUUUUUUGUCAAAUAGUGAGCAAUUGCUGCAGUGAUUGCCGUUUAUCACUAAGCCAAAUGCAGGGGAUGCUCAUACAUGUGCCUUCUAAUUGUGGGCUAGUAUUAAUAGUCACUGGCCUCCUUCUUAAAUUAUUUUCAGUCAUGAGCUUAACUUAAUGUGGUACCAUAUAUUCUUUCUUCUAAGGAUCUUCAGAAUCUGGAAAGAAUUAGCCACACUCUAAUUUAGAAACAGAGAUGGAUGAAUCCACCUAUGGACAUUUACUGGUAUGAGUCACUGGGGAGGUUUACCAAGUCACUAUUUAAGAUGAUCCAGAACAGGUGUCUACAGCUGCUUUAAGAAUCAGUAGUGUAGUGGCCAUGAAAACGUUCCUCUCAGAUGUCCAACUGCAGGGGGUGGGUAUGAAAUUGCAGAUGGCCCCAGCUGGUGUGCUCUGGAAUCCUUGGCACCAAGGCCAUGCUGCCAAGGGCUUCUCCAGGCUAGUGAUUAAAGGUAGUGGGGAUCCUAGGCAGGUCUAUUCCUGGAAGACAUGGGAUUCUUCUGAUGGGUGACUUUGGCUCAAGGACUCCUCAUUGUCUUGAAAGAAACUUUCUGAGACCUAUACUUCAGUGGAAACCUUUCUUUCCAUUGCUGUCUCCUUCCCAAGGGUUAAACCUACAUUGCAGUCUGAUGGUGGCUCUCCCGGCCUCUUCCGGCUCCCUCUACAUUUUCUCUCACAGGCAUAUCCUUUAAUAAAUCUCUUACAUAUCUGAUCCUAUCUUGGUUUCUACUUCUUGGAGGACCCAGAAUAACACAAGUACUGUCAUAAUUAUAUCUCCUCACUUUAAAACUCUUAAGUAUAAUUACUAAAAUUGUGUUGUAGUAGGAGUAAAAAGCAAAGCUACUAACUUGAGAGUGUUUAUGAAACACACAUUAAGUUUCAUUCUUUAGUACAUUUAUAAUAACUUUUAUUCAAAUUAUAGCGUGGUCUAUAUCCAAGGGCAAGUUCCUGAGUCGUAUUCAUUGAAAACAGUGGAACUUUGAAGCAAUGAGGGAAUUUGUUGCUUCUCUUGACAAGGGGGCAGUUACAAAAGCUUUCGUAUCUGCUUUGGUGUAUUUGUAAAAUUUACCUGGGGCUACAUUUUUUUUUCUGUUUGGAUUAUAAGUGUGUGGAACAUACGUGGUAAGAGCCAGUUAUAUUCCAAUCACAGAGGAUGUCUUGGAACAUGUGACUGCCACUCCAAAGGUGCUGAAACUUUCUUCCUCUAGUAAGGGACAAGGCUGGGGUGGAAGUGAGAAGAGAUAUUCUUAGGCUUAUAAUCUGUUCCUCCCAUGCUGGACCAGACAUAAAGUUUGGUUUUGUACUGAAGAUUUUAGUUGUCUGGGAGUCAGUGGAACCGAGUUAGCCCAAGAAUAAGAGUGGAUGUCCUUUUUCUCUUUCUGCCUUUGAAAUAUCAGACCAUUGGACAGGUGCUCAAUAGAUCCAAUUUUCUUAUAGUGCACCUACAUCAGUAUAAUAUAAAUGUCUUCAUUCACAAUCCCACAAGGGUUGUAAAUAUCAAUAUGCGAGGGGGAUAGUCUAUGGGAACUGAGGGUCAUAGUAGGUCAAUACCAUAUAAGAAAACUCCUACAGAGAGUGAGUCAAAAUCCCUACUCCUAUGGGACCAGCAUCUAUUAUUGUCUAUUUAUUUACUUAUUUGAAAAUGUAAACAAUUAUUUCCAAAUUGAUUUAUUCCAAAGUUGCUGUGACAUCAAGAUUAUUCCUUCUCAAAACUUUUCAUUAUAUAUUGAGACUUGUAGUCUUCAUUUCAUUUUGGUUUGCCCCAAGACUUCCACCAAGUCUAGCGGAUCUGUAGGGAACCAUCCUUUCCCAAGGUAUAUCAUGCAUACUUUUUGCUAUUAAUAUUUUUUUCAGUCUGUCCUUGUGAUCAAUCAAAAGAGAUGCAGAUUUGAAUCUCUCUAAGAGGAGCAACGGUUCUCCCUUUUUUCCUUUUCAACUGAUUAAACAAAACAGCAGCAGCCCCUGAUAUCCAGAAACUUGUCUGGCACUAACAGCUAGGCCAUAUUGUUCUCCCAUUACACAAAAACAAUUUCAGAGAACAUCAACAUCAGACCAGGUCACUCUGAGACCAUCAUAAACUGAGGCACAUACAAGAUUACCAGGUAACCCACAAAAUACUGAUCAUUCUUCUCUUAUCUAAAAUGAAUAAUUGCAACUUUUUAGAAACGAAUCACAGCUUUAUGCUCAUUUUAGUCAGCUCUCCUUAUAUAUGAAAUGUAUUGAGAUCUCAGUCAUAGAAUUGCUUCUGGUUCUUGACAGUAUAUAAUCUAGAACAAAGUCUUGCCUCUUCAGACACUUCACAAAAUGAUCCAACCAAAGCCCACAGCCUAUAAUAGGUUCUGACACCUUUUUACUGAUAUACCCAUUUCCCUAUGGUGUGCAUUUUCCCUAGCUGCUGUGAAUAAUAGAUUCAACUUGUUUAAUUAUAGGUGUGUUUCCACUGGUCUUUUGCUGUAGGGCAUUAAUAUUAUGUCCUAUGAAUGCAUUAAUAUUAAUAAUGCCCUACAACCAAACGUACGUUUUCCAGUGCUAGGAGAUCCACUAGGCUUUCUGCAAAAGGUCACUCUAACAUUACUGACACAAGUCAGUUGUUUGUCUUUUAAUGAUUUUGACAGCUGAAAUAGUUUAUCUCAGUUUCCUGUGAGGAUCUGAGAUUUAAGUCUGCUCUAGGUGUUAAGAGCAACAAGCUCAUAGUGCCAGUUGUCUUGUGAUUAAAUGUCAAAAACCAUAAUUAAGGCUUAUUAUUUUCUCCUUUGUAAUAGUUCUACUCCAAGGCUACACAAGCAGCAACAAAAAAAGGAAAAAUCCCUGUUUUAUUAAAGCUCCACUUGACUCUCCCAUCUCUAUUUACCAUGGUGAAGGGUCAAGGAAGAGUUUAUGACCUAUUUUCACGUUUUUGGCUCCUGCUUGAAGCAUAGAAAUCUCACAGACAGUAGGUAAGCCUGCUGUAUAUACUUGGGCCCUCACCUACAGGGCCCUCACCAUGUGCCUCAUGAACCAUGAGCACCACCAGACGCUGCGCCACCAGAUUGCUGCACUGGCGCUGCAGGCACUGGCUGAGCAGGGCCCUGCUGCCACUGCCGCCCUGGCCUGGCGCCCACCAGGCACCGACGGCGUUGUGCCGGCCACUGUCAAUUACUACGUGACCCCUGUGCAGCCUCUCCUCACUCGUGCCUGUCCCACCUGGCUGCCUUGUAACUGACUCAGACCCUGGCCAGAAGGAAAGGGACUAGGUCUCACAGCGUGGGGUGGGGCCUCCAAGAGUGUGUGGAGGACAUGAUCAGGGAUAGGCAGCCUGUGCCAGGUGGCCCAGCCCUGCAGGGUUGGGCCUUCUAUUGAACAAACCAGACUGCCCCGAGCACAAGGCCACUGUGGGCUUAAGGCCAGGCUGGAGUUCUCAGCUGGAGGACCCUUUGGUUAUUGCAUCACCCUUUUGGACCCAGCAUGACAGUGGGGUGCAGGAGCCAUUUGUCUUGGAGUUCAAUUGCCUUCAGGAAACAAAGCAAGUUUGGGAUGGUAGCCUUAAUCCCCAGCACCUCAGAUUGAUUCCCAUGGCCUACAAGGGCCUUUUUGACUAGGGCCGGCCUGUGGUGAUCCUGGCAGCUUUGGAGGUCCUGCAGCCCACACACUGACUGAUAUAUGGUAUGUUACAGGGACUUGUCACUUUGUGUUAGGCUGGGCCACCACAGGGCCUGAUGGUCCAACUUGGGUAAUCACUAGGGGGUGGGAAACUGAGGCAUGAGGCAGCUACCUGGGUUUUGGAAGGGCUGGGUUUAGCCUGGUUCUCUGAGAUAGAUACCCUAAGCUGUGAAGUCUUCCUCUUGAAGGGUUGAGGUGAGCAGUGCACAGGAGCCAAGGAGCUCAGGUCGGGUUGCAGCCCAGGCCCUUCCAGGGUGUCGCUCUUUUCCCCCUUGCAUUGCAAGGAGCCCUCCUGCUUGGGAGCUUGUUCUUUGGAGGGUGCUGAGCCUAAUUUGCCACAGUCAAAUCAACAUUCCUGCCCCACUGGCUUGGUUACAGGGCUCUCACAUCGGGGAGGGGAGCCCUGUAACCGCCUUGCACAUUCCCCUGGAUUUGUUGCUAUUUUGCACUCCUAAUACCUGCCAAUAAAGAUGGUCUACACUGAAAAAAAAAAAAAGCCACUUCUUGUUUUCAAGAAGAAGUGGAGUCUUCUCUCUAAACCCAUGGGAUCUCUUCUAUACUCUCUUAUAGAUUAUUUUUAUAUUGUGUGUUUGAUCAUUUUGUCUCCUCUAACCCCCUUUGAGUGCUGUCUCAGACUUUGUACUAAAUAAUUUUUGUAUUAUGUGAAAAAUGAGUUUUAUGUCACUAAGCAAUUCAUGGAAAUAAUUUUCUGUACCUACAUGUACAUAUUUCUUAACCAAUUACAUAUAUUUGAGUUCCUAAGAGGUAACUUUUUAAUGACCCUCAGGUGCACAUAUUUGUAUUAAGAUAAACCUUGGUUCCUGACUGUUAUCACUGGUCAAUACAUUUUUUUAAGCUGCAGUUGCUUCCCAAUCUCUAUUUAUCUUUCACUUACUCAUUCCUUUAUUCUAUUUAUUUUUAAUAUAAUGAGAACCUAUGAAACCCACCCAAAUUCAGACUAGAACAUCAAUAAUAACUCAACCUUUCUUAUCAAAUAAAUGCUUCUUUAUAGCACUCAAAGGCACAAGAAUCCAAAUGCAUAGGAAGCAUUUCUUAGUUCUGUUGAUUGAGAGGUGAGUUGUUUUUUGUGUAGUUAGAAGAAAGAUCUCUGAGAAGCUGAAGAAUACCUUCUGCCCCCUUCAUCUUGAAGAUUGAUUGCAAUAAUGUAGGUCAAAAAAGAAAUCCUUUUAAAAAUAGAAGCCAAGCAGGAAUACAAAGGCAUUUUAAGGAGUAGAGAACAGAGAAGGGAAAAAGUCUUGAAAGAAGGAAUAGAGUAUGUUACUUUUGCCAUCCCUAGUUACCUAUUGGCCUGUUAGGUACAUAUAUUAGGUGAGGUUUUGACCUUGGGUGAGGACAUUGCUUUAAGCACUAAAUAUAUUAGCUUUUGAUCCCAUGAAGAAGAGACAGGAAGCAUUUCUGAUAAAUACUGCUUUGAAGAUUGGCUGUAAGGCCAAGACUCAUCAGAGAGCUCCAGUUGACUAUGGGACUUAGACAAUGGAGAAAAGUAAACGCAUGGCAUAUUUCAAUUUCCCUUUACAGGAAUUCAGACUCCGUGGUGUGGUAGAAGACAAAAUAAUUUUGGUUAUUUCUGUGAUAACCUGAGCAAUCUGGAAACUACUCCUAUUUGUGAGGAUAAAUCUCUAUUAUGAUACAUGGAAAAUAGGACAGAUGCUAACUCACGUAAGAAAAGGCUUUUAUACAAAUAUUUGCCUUCAGACAGAAAUGUUAAUGAAGGUGGAGAAGGAAAAGCUACCAAAAAACUAAAAAUAGUAGGACACAAAAUACCUUGUAGUGAGUGUGAACCAUUCUGGUGCCUUGGCUCCAAGGGAGCAGCAACCUAGCAGAGCUACUGGACAACCAGCCCUGUACUUCUCUAGAGCACAGACCAGCUCACUAUGCAGCCCCUAAGAGAUCAGCACCCAAGAAGAACCUACCAGCCAUGGAUCCUCAGAGAACAGACCAGCCCAGUGCCCAGCCUUUAGGGGACAAGCAGCUGAGUAGGCAUACCAGCCACACAAACUUCUGCAGCCAAGGCCACUGGAGAACUCGCAGGCAUCACUUACAUUAACUACAGCUAAAGAAGCUGCAUAGAGACUACACUACUGCAUCCACCCAGAACAAAAACAAAUGUACCCUACCCAACCAACAUGCUAGGACACAUCUGCAGGUGUAAGUCUUUCUUCAUGAAAGCUACUCUACAAAGUUAGAAAAGGUUAUUAUUCCAUCAGAUGCACAGAUACCAGUGCAGGGAUACAAGAAACAUAAAAAAGCAAGGAAACAGGACACUGCCAAAGAAACGCAAUAAUUCUCUAGUAACCUCAAUCAAAUAAAUAAAAAUUUAUGAAUUGCCUGAAAAGGAAUUCAAAAUAGUGAGCUUAAGGAAACUUGGUGAGACAUGAAAGAACACAAACAGAUCAUUCAAUAAUUGGGAAAAACAAUUUGUGAUCUGAAUGAGAAAUUCAACAAAGAGAAAAAAAACCAGAAAUCUUGGGGCCAACAAAUUCAAUUAAUAAAAUGAAAAAUAGAAUUGAGAGUUUCGACAGCAAAACAGAUCAAACAGAAUUUUUGAACUUGAAAACAGGUCUUUUGAAAUAGUCUAGUCAGAGGUAAAGGAAAAAAAAAGGAAGAUGGAGAAGGAACAGCUACCAAAAAACUAAAAAUAGUAGGACACAAAAAACCUUGUAGUGAGUGUGAACCUAAGACACUUAAGUGGCACCAUAAGUGAACAAAAAUUUGCAUUUUGGCAACUUAAGAAGAAGA